CAGGUUAAGGAGUUCAUCUCCUGCGUGAAGUAAAGGCUGCCUUGUCCAAACUUUGUUCCUAAUUAGCUAAGCUCUAUGUUGACUUGACCCAGCACGACAAUUUGACAGGCAUUUCGCAUUCAGUGGCGACGUGUGGCUGGCGAGCCAUCGAUGAGUGCAAGAAAACGUACAUCGGCUUUGAUUGGAUUCGUCGUCUCUUGGGCGUUGAGGUGGAUCUUGUGGAGAUGCUGCGUGCGUGCCUGCAUGAGUCGAUGCAUUAAGAAAGGAAUUUAUCUAUCAGAUCAGUUUAAUUAAGUCUGCUCUUAGUUUAACUAGCUUUCAACCGGCGAAUCUGCCAGACAGAUUGGCGAACGAACCGGCGAAUCUGCUCUUAGUUAAGCAAGAUAUUGGAUUCGACUCGAUCAUCAGGGUACAGUGUUUUACCGGUGGGCUUGCCCUUCGUUUCGUUACGUUAAAUUGUUGCUACUUUCGUUCCGUUUCAUGCUAUUAUCUAGAUUUAUACACGUAUCAGUAUGUGUCUGUCUUAUUCAUAUGUAUCUAUAUAAGAACAUAAAAUCUUACAGUGUGAAAUAAAUCGGAAAGUAUGUUAUAAUAGUU
Long non-coding RNA from Oryza brachyantha (malo sina), 597 nucleotides. RefSeq lists it as uncharacterized. The record is from RefSeq and is a predicted model, not a curated record. NCBI's taxonomy places the organism in Eukaryota, Viridiplantae, Streptophyta, Magnoliopsida, Poales, Poaceae. The transcript is spliced from 3 exons.